This 158-nucleotide unclassified non-coding RNA is filed under the name soil metagenome. Its description in RNAcentral is "partial internal transcribed spacer 1". The record is from RNAcentral.
CUGAGUUCAUGCCCUUACGGGUAGAUCUCCCACCCUUGAAUAUCUAAACCUUUGUUGCUUUGGCGGGCCGCUUCGGCUACCGGCUCCGGCUGGUGAGUGCCGCCAGAGAACCUUAAACUCUGAAUUACAGUGUCGUCUGAAGUACUAUAAAAUAGUUA